CAGCCGCCGCGGUAACACGUAGGGUGCAAGCGUUAAUCGGAAUUACUGGGCGUAAAGCGUGCGCAGGCGGUUAUAUAAGACAGAUGUGAAAUCCCCGGGCUCAACCUGGGAACUGCAUUUGUGACUGUAUAGCUAGAGUACGGCAGAGGGGGAUGGAAUUCCGCGUGUAGCAGUGAAAUGCGUAGAUAUGCGGAGGAACACCGAUGGCGAAGGCAAUCCCCUGGGCCUGUACUGACGCUCAUGCACGAAAGCGUGGGGAGCAAACAGGAUUAGAUACCCGUGUAGUCCCUGUCUCUUAUAC
RNAcentral lists this ribosomal RNA (301 nucleotides) under uncultured bacterium. RNAcentral's name for it is "partial 16S ribosomal RNA". It matches the Rfam family "Bacterial small subunit ribosomal RNA", at positions 509 to 807 of the family's 1533-position model. The record is from RNAcentral.